Molecule: small RNA, 27 nt
Filed under: Arabidopsis thaliana (thale cress)
Lineage: Eukaryota; Viridiplantae; Streptophyta; Magnoliopsida; Brassicales; Brassicaceae
Description: ATSL228820
Source: RNAcentral
AGUGAAGAAGAAGAAUCUGGCUCAUCU